CUGGCGGCGUGCCUAAUACAUGCAAGUCGAGCGAACGGAUAAGGAGCUUGCUCCUUUGAAGUUAGCGGCGGACGGGUGAGUAACACGUGGGUAACCUACCUAUAAGACUGGAAUAACUUCGGGAAACCGGAGCUAAUGCCGGAUAACAUUUGGAACCGCAUGGUUCUAAAGUAAAAGAUGGUUUUGCUAUCACUUAUAGAUGGACCCGCGCCGUAUUAGCUAGUUGGUAAGGUAACGGCUUACCAAGGCAACGAUACGUAGCCGACCUGAGAGGGUGAUCGGCCACACUGGAACUGAGACACGGUCCAGACUCCUACGGGAGGCAGCAGUAGGGAAUCUUCCGCAAUGGACGAAAGUCUGACGGAGCAACGCCGCGUGAGUGAUGAAGGUUUUCGGAUCGUAAAACUCUGUUAUUAGGGAAGAACAAAUGUGUAAGUAACUGUGCACAUCUUGACGGUACCUAAUCAGAAAGCCACGGCUAACUACGUGCCAGCAGCCGCGGUAAUACGUAGGUGGCAAGCGUUAUCCGGAAUUAUUGGGCGUAAAGCGCGCGUAGGCGGUUUCUUAAGUCUGAUGUGAAAGCCCACGGCUCAACCGUGGAGGGUCAUUGGAAACUGGGAAACUUGAGUACAGAAGAGGAAAGUGGAAUUCCAUGUGUAGCGGUGAAAUGCGCAGAGAUAUGGAGGAACACCAGUGGCGAAGGCGACUUUCUGGUCUGUAACUGACGCUGAUGUGCGAAAGCGUGGGGAUCAAACAGGAUUAGAUACCCUGGUAGUCCACGCCGUAAACGAUGAGUGCUAAGUGUUAGGGGGUUUCCGCCCCUUAGUGCUGCAGCUAACGCAUUAAGCACUCCGCCUGGGGAGUACGACCGCAAGGUUGAAACUCAAAGGAAUUGAC
This 897-nucleotide ribosomal RNA is filed under the name Staphylococcus equorum. Its description in RNAcentral is "bacterial SSU rRNA". It matches the Rfam family "Bacterial small subunit ribosomal RNA", at positions 36 to 914 of the family's 1533-position model. Lineage: Bacteria; Bacillati; Bacillota; Bacilli; Caryophanales; Staphylococcaceae. The record is from RNAcentral.